RNAcentral lists this long non-coding RNA (208 nucleotides) under Carica papaya (papaya). RNAcentral describes it as "long non-coding RNA (CPAP_LNC009638)". The record is from RNAcentral. Lineage: Eukaryota; Viridiplantae; Streptophyta; Magnoliopsida; Brassicales; Caricaceae.
UGUUGUUGGAUCACUCUCACUUAUAAUAAAGCAUCAUUCUUCUAUAAUAUUGUGAGUGGUAGGCACGACUUCAUCCAGAUUGCAUAGUCUAGAUCCAUACUAGUACUAUGCUUAUUACAUUUCUUGAAAUUAUUGUUGUUAAAUACUAAAAUAAUAUCCAGAUUAACAUAUAUGAACAUUGCAUUAACUGAAAUGGAAAUAAAAUAUU